UACGGGGGGGGCAAGCGUUGUUCGGAAUUACUGGGCGUAAAGGGCUCGUAGGUGGCCAACUAAGUCAGACGUGAAAUCCCUCAGCUUAACUGGGGAACUGCGUCUGAUACUGGAUGGCUUGAGUUUGGGAGAGGGAUGCGGAAUUCCAGGUGUAGCGGUGAAAUGCGUAGAUAUCUGGAGGAACACCGGUGGCGAAGGCGGCAUCCUGGACUGGCCCUGACGCUCAGGAGCGAAAGCGUGGGGAGCGAUCCGG
RNAcentral lists this ribosomal RNA (253 nucleotides) under uncultured bacterium. RNAcentral's name for it is "partial 16S ribosomal RNA". It matches the Rfam family "Bacterial small subunit ribosomal RNA", at positions 524 to 776 of the family's 1533-position model. The record is from RNAcentral.